GGGGCCGUAAAGGUUUCGACGGGGGCGAUGAACCCGAUUAAGCACGCAGAGAGCGCCUUAUCUCUUUAAACGGGGCACUUUUAAAAUUAAACGCAGACAAUAGAUCUGAAUUAGCAGCUGCCUAAGCGCACUGCCGUCCGCAUGAGAAGCGCUGCGGUCUCAUCCCGGGCGUCGAACAGCAGCCAACGUUUUAAGCGAGAGCCUUGCAGCUUUUAACGCACCUAAAGGGCUACCAAACGUCUAUCCUGUGUAUCGGAGCGGCGCGAGGGAAAUUUAAAUGAUAUACUAAGCGUGUAGAAAGAUUGGCGGAUUUGUUUUCGGACAGGAGUUCGAUUCUCCUCGGCUCCACCA
RNAcentral lists this transfer-messenger RNA (351 nucleotides) under Oscillospiraceae. Its description in RNAcentral is "Ruminiclostridium_E sp900768735 Standard tmRNA". It matches the Rfam family "transfer-messenger RNA". Rfam says of the family: Bacterial tmRNA, also known as 10Sa RNA or SsrA, is named for its dual tRNA and mRNA-like properties. The record is from RNAcentral. RNAcentral also lists the same sequence under 1 other name. Lineage: Bacteria; Bacillati; Bacillota; Clostridia; Eubacteriales.